UGGGGAAUUUUGGACAAUGGGCGAAAGCCUGAUCCAGCAAUGCCGCGUGUGUGAAGAAGGCCUUCGGGUUGUAAAGCACUUUUGUCCGGAAAGAAAUCCUUGGCUCUAAUACAGUCGGGGGAUGACGGUACCGGAAGAAUAAGCACCGGCUAACUACGUGCCAGCAGCCGCGGUAAUACGUAGGGUGCAAGCGUUAAUCGGAAUUACUGGGCGUAAAGCGUGCGCAGGCGGUUUGCUAAGACCGAUGUGAAAUCCCCGGGCUCAACCUGGGAACUGCAUUGGUGACUGGCAGGCUAGAGUAUGGCAGAGGGGGGUAGAAUUCCACGUGUAGCAGUGAAAUGCGUAGAGAUGUGGAGGAAUACCGAUGGCGAAGGCAGCCCCCUGGGCCAAUACUGACGCUCAUGCACGAAAGCGUGGGGAGCAAACAGGAUUAGAUACCCUGGUAGUCCACGCCCUAAACGAUGUCAACUAGUUGUGGGGAUUCAUUCCUUAGUAACGUAGCUAACGCGUGAAGUUGACCGCCUGGGGAGU
This 531-nucleotide ribosomal RNA is filed under the name uncultured bacterium. RNAcentral describes it as "partial 16S ribosomal RNA". It matches the Rfam family "Bacterial small subunit ribosomal RNA", at positions 355 to 881 of the family's 1533-position model. The record is from RNAcentral.